UAAAAAACACAGAGCAUAAAUUUCUGCCAAAUAUCAUAAUUCAAUCAGUAAAAUACCUGCUACUUCAUUAAUGCCAGAAAAUGCAAGUUGCAGAAGAGCAUCUUCAUCGGUGUGCACUUCAGUUCGAGGUCGUAGUCCACUGCAUUUUCCGAUUUCAGAUGUGGAUUUAAGAUCUCUUUCAAUGGCUGACCAAAUUCCUUUUGUUAUAGAACCAAACAGUAGCAAGCAAUUCUCCCUUGUAGAAUCAACUAAGAGUACAGUAACUUUGCGUAUCGGCCAUCCAAUACCUGGAACAUCUUCAUGUGCAAGCAGCGCCGAAGAAACCUUACAAGCACCCAUAAUCGCUUCCUCUGUCAGUGACAGCUGACCUUUUAGGUCCACUACAGUGUGGUAAUCAGGUCGACACAUGAGCUUCAUGUAUGCCAAUAACUUAGGCUUGAAAAUGACAGCCAAUUUGCAACAAGAAGUGAAACUUAAAUACUCCAAACUCGGAUGACGUUUCCUGUGGUAGUAGUUGUAGAGUACCACUACAGCAUGCAUCUGGAUAAAAAAAAAAAGUUCCAAAUUAAAAAAAAAAAAACNUAAAGGUUGUUGCNCAACACCUUCCACAAAGUUUUUUACACGAUAUUACAAAUUUGAACAAGUUCAUGGUAAUAUAAUUGCACAAUUAUGCUAGCAUACAAUAUUCAUUGCAUAAAUAUUUUAAAAAAUCAACAUAUAAAACAGUAGUAUUGAUAGUAAUAGAAAUAACUUAACUGGAAAAUUUAGUAGAUCCUUCAUAGAAGAAUAUAUAUAUUUUCCAAGGAAUCACGUUUUUUUGUUCAACUCUUCUCUCUGUAUCUAUUGUUAAAGAUAAGUACAGAGUUGCUAAUGCAUAUAUAGAUCACUUGAUGUCUAGUCACUUACGAAUUUUUAUGAGGUGUGUUUGACGUUAAUAUACCUCAGUUUGAACUUACUAAGUUUUAAAUUGAUUUCUCAAUUUUAUGCUAAAAAAAUUACUUUGUUGCAUUUCAAUUGUAAGUAUAUGAGGGUUCAUGAAUGCAUAUGUACCAAAAGUAUUUAAGUAAUCAUAAUCAGAAAUUAAUAAGAUUAAGUUACAAAAAUAGUGUUUAUACAUGAAAGACACCUAUUGAUUAUUUGAAAACCUAUUUUAAUUAUAAGUUGCAUAUUAUCAUGACAUAAAUAUAUCUCCGAAACAAAAUUAAAUUUAAAACAUAUACAAUAAAAGAACAAAAAUUAUAAGUCACCCGUGCAUCGCGAAGGUUAUAAGCUAGUUUAUACAUGAAACUAGCCAUUUAUAUCAUGUCCAUUUCCCUUCUUUCAGGGAAGGUUGCUAGUUGUGUAUAAAAAACACAGAGCAUAAAUUUCUGCCAAAUAUCAUAAUUCAAUCAGUAAAAUACCUGCUACUUCAUUAAUGCCAGAAAAUGCAAGUUGCAGAAGAGCAUCUUCAUCGGUGUGCACUUCAGUUCGAGGUCGUAGUCCACUGCAUUUUCCGAUUUCAGAUGUGGAUUUAAGAUCUCUUUCAAUGGCUGACCAAAUUCCUUUUGUUAUAGAACCAAACAGUAGCAAGCAAUUCUCCCUUGUAGAAUCAACUAAGAGUACAGUAACUUUGCGUAUCGGC
Molecule: long non-coding RNA, 1621 nt
Filed under: Daucus carota (carrot)
Lineage: Eukaryota; Viridiplantae; Streptophyta; Magnoliopsida; Apiales; Apiaceae
Description: long non-coding RNA (DCAR_LNC007144)
Source: RNAcentral